RNAcentral lists this long non-coding RNA (991 nucleotides) under Salmo salar (Atlantic salmon). Its description in RNAcentral is "lncRNA (ENSSSAG00000097917.1)". The record is from RNAcentral. Lineage: Eukaryota; Metazoa; Chordata; Actinopteri; Salmoniformes; Salmonidae.
CCUGUUCAGAGCGUAACACACCACAAUUCCACUCAGAAAUAAAAAAAGGACACUGCAUGAAAAGAACACAAACAGAAGCUCCUCAUGAACAAUCCAGAGAAACUAUUUAUUGUUACAAGACUGGGAACAUAAGCAACUUAAUUUUCCACACAGACAAUCCCCUGGCAUGGUACAGCUCUGUCUUGGUGACGACUCCCCCACACCAAGUGAGUCGCUCAACACCCCCACAGACGAGGAACCCCAAGACGAACAGGUCAACACACUCCAGUCAGCACAGACAACAGUCCAGCACAACAACACCCCCUCAACUAGACUCAGAGAGCUGGAGGGGGGUGAGAGACGUGUCUGCACUCUGGACUUUGGUGAGAAAACUUCAAUAGGAGAAAGAGUAGGAGCGGAAGGAGGAGGCCCAGCGGCAGGAGAAGAUGAGAGAAGAGGAGGAGAAAAAGAUGAAGGAGGAGGUGGUGAGAAAGAUGAAGGAGAUGAGAAAGAGGAAGUAGGAGGAGGAGAGAAAGAUGGAGGAGGAGGGAAUAAAGAUGGAGGAGGAGGGAAUAAAGAUGAAGGAGGAGGAGAGAGAAAUUGAUGAGGUGAGAAAGAUGAAAAAGGUGAGAAAGAUGGAGGAGGAGGUGAGAAAGAUGAAGGAGGAGGUGAGAAAGAUGAAGGAGAUGAGAAAGAUGGAGGAGGAGGUGAGAAAGAUGAAGGAGGUGAGAAAGAUGGAGGAGGAGGUGAGAAAGAUGGAGGAGAGAAAGAUGAAGGAGGAGGUGAGAAAGAUGGAGGAGAGAAAGAUGGAGGAGGAGGUGAGAAAGAUGAAGGAGGAGGUGAGAAAGAUGAAGGAGGUGAGAAAGAUGAAGGAGGUGAGAAAGAUGAUGGAGGCAGUGAGAAGAUGAUGGAGGUGGUGAGAAAGAUGGAGGAGGAGGAGAGAGAGAUUGAUGAGGUGAGAAAGAUGGAGGAGGAGGUGAGAAAGAUGAAGGAGGUGAGGAAGAUGGAGGAG